Microtus oregoni (creeping vole) is the source of this 383-nucleotide long non-coding RNA. RefSeq lists it as uncharacterized. Lineage: Eukaryota; Metazoa; Chordata; Mammalia; Rodentia; Cricetidae. The record is from RefSeq and is a predicted model, not a curated record. The transcript is spliced from 3 exons.
GCAGACAUGCGUCUCAUCUUUCAUAACCACAGCAUAUUUUAUAAAGAUCAGAGGUUCAGCAAUCUUGGAGACACAAUAAGAAAAGUAUUUGAGAAGAAUUACAAAAUAUUAUUUUCAAUCAAGAAAACAAGAAAACAACUUCAACCAUUGACUAGGUGGAGAUCACAACAAAACAGACCGGGAGUCAACACACCGUCCUUGGGAACAGCUAGAAGAUGAACCAUGUCUAACAUAAACUAAAAUUGUUCAUCUUGUAAUGUAAAAUGGGAACGAGAAGUCAGAAGUUCAACCCUGGGAGCUCAGUCAUGGAGAGAAAACUCAAAUAGGAGCUGUGGCCGACUGCUGGACUUCCACAGACAGUUUCUGCUGACUGCCGUGAGCAU